AUGACUAAAUCUGUUUUAGUGUGGUCCUUGGAACAUCAUAUAUAGCUCCAAAAUAUGUAGAAUUGUCAAGCUUGGAACACCAUAGCAUCAUAGCUCCAAAAUCUGCAGUUGGAGCCGAGCUGAUUCUUAUAUACACCGACCUAUCUAGAAAUCUCAGAGCCUCUAAUUACACCGACCUACUUACACCGAUAAAAGCGUCUAUCUACAAAUCUGGAAGCCUCUAUAUAUACCGAAAUUCGCUGUCCCUGGUUAUCGGGUUUGGUUGUCGAUCAAAGCUUUCAUAGAGUUUGAUAACGUUGACUCUUCCAGAUUAUCAGGUUUGGUGAUUGAUCAAAGCUUGAUACAUUUUGGGUUCUUGAUACCGUUACCUCUUCAAGAUUAUCAGAUAAAGAGAGGGAGAAGAGAACGAGGGAAGAAGAAGAAGAGAGAUUAGAAACUCUUGCUUGCUUGAAGAGAAAACAAGUAGACGGUUUUGUUUCUUAUUACUGUUUCUAAUUCAAGUGAUUACUGUUCAGAAGAUUUGUGUUUCAGGAAAGCCUUGAAGGAGCUUAAUCAUAUGAUUCAGCACCAAAUUACUCCAUUUUACUGGAGCUCAGGGAGUCAGGGCUGAGAAGAGAAGGGUCUGUUUUUGACCACAGAACUAUUAAAUAUGUUCUUGCAAUUUUAGAGAACAGAGUAUGAAAUGGGAGGAAAACAUCAGUCAAUUAUCUUUCUCAUGCAAUGUGCUCAAUGAGAAGAUGAGAAAACACUAAAAUAAGAUGUAGUUUAAUUCCUUCAGCACAAAACUGUCGGUGUGUAUAUAUUUUGGAUAUAGGCAUGCAUGAUCAAAACUUUCCUUGAUAUCUUAUUACAAAUUCAUUCUCUGUCAUCUUCUCUGUCUUAUAGCAAAGUGAGUGUUCAUCUACCUUCAUUCACACUACACAGAAAUUUUGUUUCAAAAUAGUUCAAGUGCAGGAUAUGUUUAACAUUAAGUUCUCCAGUUCUCC
Molecule: long non-coding RNA, 986 nt
Filed under: Rosa chinensis
Lineage: Eukaryota; Viridiplantae; Streptophyta; Magnoliopsida; Rosales; Rosaceae
Description: sRNA RchiOBHm_Chr3g0497401
Source: RNAcentral